RNAcentral lists this ribosomal RNA (445 nucleotides) under Pyrgoma sp. 2 MM-2014. RNAcentral's name for it is "partial 16S ribosomal RNA". It matches the Rfam family "Bacterial large subunit ribosomal RNA", at positions 1933 to 2590 of the family's 2925-position model. Lineage: Eukaryota; Metazoa; Arthropoda; Thecostraca; Balanomorpha; Pyrgomatidae. The record is from RNAcentral.
GCAGUAUCCUAACUGUGCUAAGGUAGCAUAAUCAUUAGUCUUUUAAUUGGAGACUGGUAUGAAUGGCUUAACGAGAAAUUGACUUUUUUUGUUAUAUUUAUCGAACUUAAUUUUUUAGUGAAAAAGCUAAAAUUUUUCAGAAAGACGAGAAGACCCUAUAGAGUUUUAUAUUUUACAGUAUUUUUUCUUAUUAGAUUUUUUUUGACUAAGUAUAAAAAAAUAUUUUGUUGGGGCGACAUUUAGAUAUAUAAAACUCUUUAUUUUUUAAAUUUCUAUAGAAAUAUGGCUUGAUCCUUUAUAAAAGAUCAAAAGAAAAAAUUACCUUAGGGAUAACAGCGUAAUCUUUUUUGAGAGUUCUAAUCGACAAAAAGGUUUGCGACCUCGAUGUUGGACUAAAAUUUAGGCAGGGUGCAGCAGUUCUGCUUUAAGGUCUGUUCGACCUAUA